This is a non-coding RNA of Triticum urartu, 1734 nucleotides long. The record is from RefSeq and is a predicted model, not a curated record. NCBI's taxonomy places the organism in Eukaryota, Viridiplantae, Streptophyta, Magnoliopsida, Poales, Poaceae.
AUGUAGAUUUUCAAAUGAUGAAAGUCACAAAAGUGAGCUAUUUUUGUUUUACUUCAAAUAAUUCAACAUGAAAAAUACAAAUACAUAUAAAUAUUUUUUGUGCCAAAAUCUAAAGCAGAUGUCAGUUUGACCUUUUUAACUACUUUUUUGCACAAGGAGAUGAUGUUAUUGAACUGGCUACGUACAUUCAGUUUUACCUAGUAUGGUUGUACUAGUAAUGCAAGCACUGCUUCCAAGGUUUUAUAGAGAUCAGUAGCCAUCCAACUAUGAAAUGCAUGCAAACCAAUCUGCAUACACUAGCGAACAUUGAAACAAAGAACCCCUGUUUCUCAACUUUGAACUUUUGUAUGGGUUUUCCCUCAACUUAUUGUAUCCGUGAGUCUGAACUGAUGCAAUUAUAUAAGAAUACCAAACAUUUAUGACCUGAACCUGAAAAGGAUCCAAGACAGGUUGCCCUGGAACUGCAACUUGUAUCUUUUACUGCUCAUCUUUAACAUUAAGAAAGUACUAAUCAGUACUAGUAUUUGUGUAAGUCAUACUGAUCAGUACUGCUACUUUCCGUACUGAUGAGCACUAGUACUGAUCGCUAACACAUAGAAUUUUUCAUCUAGUUGACUUUUAACAUUAUAUUAGAAAAAGUGAGCUACAAAAUAAAAAACUAGAUUAGAAUAGAUGCAUUGGCUUAUAUUAGAAACGAUGAGCUACGAAAUAAACAACCAGGUACGAAUUUGCUUCAAGUCAGGUUUUCUAUUUUUUGAAUUUGAUGCAUGUUGCAGUAUAGGACUACUACUGGUUUGCAAGUUGGACUUGAGUACUUUUAAAUUGUUUGCAUAGUUUACUGCCGAAAUUUGAACCACAAAGGAACACAUCCGCAUUACUAAUUGUAUAUAGCAAAACUGAACUUUCUGCGUCUACUGUUGUUUUUACAGAGUGGACUUAUGUUUUCUUAUAUACUUGAACUACUAAAGUUUUUGAAAAUUGCCACUAUCACACAUGUUAUACUUGAAAACCCUUGCCAGACUAGGCACCCAUCCUGCACAACAAAUCAUCCCCCAAGUAAAUUGUAGUAGCCUCUCUCUCUAUGUCUCUUUUUUGCAUCUCUCUCUCUAUGUCUCUUUUUUGCAUCUAUGAGAAGUCCCCCGAAGAACUCCUGAACUUUCAGUUGGAUCAAAAUCUAGAUUACAAGAAAAAUGGCCUUCAUGGAUGGCAGUAUGUGAACUGAAGAGUAGGAGAGGAGGAGCACGAAGGUGUUUCUCACCAAUCGUGUUCCUGAUGGCGUGGUGGAUGGCAAGAAUCGUUGGCUGAACAGGAGGUCGAUGCGUCGUGGAAGGAACUCUAGGGGUAAUAGAAGUGAACCUGUGACGAAGAAUAGAAAUCAAAAAGAAUUUUUUUGGAGGUGGAAUAAGACGUCAGAGAUCGGGUGGAGCGGCUACACCUCCUCCUCUGGACUGAUUCUCUGGUGAAGUGGAGCUGAUGGAGGCGGAGAUCACGAGCAGCGCGAUUUGGCCACUGCAGGGAAUCCUAGUGACUACCAAGUCAUCCUUGCUAUUCCAGGAUGACGUCCAGAGCACUGCAAUGGGGGUAGAGGAGCCGGCGUCGCUGGAGGGAAUCGCGACUAGAGCAAAUAAGUUUAGACAGAAGCUAUUUGCUUUGUAUUCCUGGUGGUGUUUAUUCAGCAAGGGCACCAGGGAUGACUAAGCAAAUAAGUUUAGCCAUCCCUAUGUUGUUUAUUCA